GGACCGGUGGUCUAGUGGUCAUGACUUCUCCUACCUGUUUCUAGGCGACGUGAGGGCCCUGGUUAAUUCCAGUGGAGUCCCCCCCUCCUUUGCCUGAGGUUUGGGGAAUACCUGCGUUCGAAUCGCAGCCGGUCCA
Molecule: non-coding RNA, 136 nt
Organism: Phaeosphaeriaceae sp. PMI808
Lineage: Eukaryota; Fungi; Ascomycota; Dothideomycetes; Pleosporales; Phaeosphaeriaceae
Source: the annotation of a GenBank genome assembly